RNAcentral lists this ribosomal RNA (520 nucleotides) under uncultured Glomus. RNAcentral describes it as "SSU rRNA". It matches the Rfam family "Eukaryotic small subunit ribosomal RNA", at positions 569 to 1089 of the family's 1831-position model. The record is from RNAcentral. Lineage: Eukaryota; Fungi; Glomeromycota; Glomeromycetes; Glomerales; Glomeraceae.
AGCAGCCGCGGUAAUUCCAGCUCCAAUAGCGUAUAUUAAAGUUGUUGCAGUUAAAAAGCUCGUAGUUGAAUUUCGGGGUUAGUAGGUUGGUCAUGCCUCUGGUAUGUACUGGUCUCACUGAUUCCUCCUUCCUGAUGAGCCGUAAUGCCAUUAAUUUGGUGUUGCGGGGAAUUUGGACUGUUACUUUGAAAAAAUUUAGAGUGUUUAAAGCAAGCUAACGCUUGAAUACAUUAGCAUGGAAUAAUGAAAUAGGACGUUCGAUCCUAUUUUGUUAGUUUCUAGGAUUGACGUAAUGAUUAAUAGGGAUAGUUGGGGGCGAUUAGUAUUCAAUUGUCAGAGGUGAAAUUCUUGGAUUUAUUGAAGACUAACUACUGCGAAAGCAUUUGCCAGGAUGUUUUCAUUAAUCAAGAACGAAAGUUAGGGGAUCGAAGACGAUCAGAUACCGUCGUAGUCUUAACCAUAAACUAUGCCGACUAGGGAUCGGAUGAUGUUAAUUUUUUAAUGACUCACUCGGCGCCUU